UACGUAGGGUGCGAGCGUUGUCCGGAAUUACUGGGCGUAAAGAGCUCGUAGGUGGUUUGUCGCGUUGUCCGUGAAAACUCACAACUCAAUUGUGGGCGUGCGGGCGAUACGGGCAGACUGGAGUACUGCAGGGGAGACUGGAAUUCCUGGUGUAGCGGUGGAAUGCGCAGAUAUCAGGAGGAACACCGGCGGCGAAGGCGGGUCUCUGGGCAGUAACUGACGCUGAGGAGCGAAAGCGUGGGGAGCGAACAGG
RNAcentral lists this ribosomal RNA (253 nucleotides) under uncultured bacterium. RNAcentral's name for it is "partial 16S ribosomal RNA". It matches the Rfam family "Bacterial small subunit ribosomal RNA", at positions 524 to 776 of the family's 1533-position model. The record is from RNAcentral.